AGUGAACGCUGGCGGUAGGCCUAGCACAUGCAAGUCGAACGGCAGCACAGUAAGAGCUUGCUCUUACGGGUGGCGAGUGGCGGACGGGUGAGGAAUACAUCGGAAUCUACUUUUUCGUGGGGGAUAACGUAGGGAAACUUACGCUAAUACCGCAUACGACCUACGGGUGAAAGCAGGGGAUCUUCGGACCUUGCGCGAUUGAAUGAGCCGAUGUCGGAUUAGCUAGUUGGCGGGGUAAAGGCCCACCAAGGCGACGAUCCGUAGCUGGUCUGAGAGGAUGAUCAGCCACACUGGAACUGAGACACGGUCCAGACUCCUACGGGAGGCAGCAGUGGGGAAUAUUGGACAAUGGGCGAAAGCCUGAUCCAGCCAUACCGCGUGGGUGAAGAAGGCCUUCGGGUUGUAAAGCCCUUUUGUUGGGAAAGAAAAGCAGCAGGUUAAUACCCCGCUGUUCUGACGGUACCCAAAGAAUAAGCACCGGCUAACUUCGUG
Molecule: ribosomal RNA, 492 nt
Filed under: uncultured bacterium
Lineage: Bacteria
Description: partial 16S ribosomal RNA
Rfam family: Bacterial small subunit ribosomal RNA
Source: RNAcentral